CCGUUAGGGGGGACCUGCGGAAGGAUCAUUACCGAGUUGAUUCGAGCUCCGGCUCGACUCUCCCACCCAAUGUGUACCUACCUCUGUUGCUUUGGCGGGCCGCGGUCCUCCGCACCGGCGCCCUUCGGGGGGCUGGCCAGCGCCCGCCAGAGGACCAUAAAACUCCAGUCAGUGAACUUCGCAGUCUGAAAAACAAGUUAAUAAACUAAAACUUUCAACAACGGAUCUCUUGGUUCUGGCAUCGAUGAAGAACGCAGCGAAAUGCGAUAAGUAAUGUGAAUUGCAGAAUUCAGUGAAUCAUCGAAUCUUUGAACGCACAUUGCGCCCCUUGGUAUUCCGAGGGGCAUGCCUGUUCGAGCGUCAUUUCAACCCUCAAGCUCUGCUUGGUAUUGGGCCCCGUCCUCCACGGACGCGCCUUAAAGACCUCGGCGGUGGCGUCUUGCCUCAAGCGUAGUAGAAAACACCUCGCUUUGGAGCGCACGGCGUCGCCCGCCGGACGAACCUUUGAAUUAUUUCUCAAGGUGACCUCGGAUCAGGUAGCUCAAC
This 546-nucleotide ribosomal RNA is filed under the name Neofusicoccum parvum. Its description in RNAcentral is "eukaryotic LSU rRNA". The stretch from base 210 to 363 matches the Rfam family "5.8S ribosomal RNA". Lineage: Eukaryota; Fungi; Ascomycota; Dothideomycetes; Botryosphaeriales; Botryosphaeriaceae. The record is from RNAcentral.